CAGCACCGCGGUAAAACGAAGGGUGCAAGCGUUAAUCGGAAUUACUGGGCGUAAAGCGUGCGUAGGCGGUGAGUUAAGUCUGCUGUGAAAUCCCCGGGCUCAACCUGGGAAUGGCAGUGGAUACUGGCUCGCUAGAGUGUGUCAGAGGAUGGUGGAAUUCCCGGUGUAGCGGUGAAAUGCGUAGAGAUCGGGAGGAACAUCAGUGGCGAAGGCGGCCAUCUGGGACAACACUGACGCUGAGGCACGAAAGCGUGGGGAGCAAACAGGAUUAGAUACCCCCGUAGUCCCUGUCUCUUAUACA
RNAcentral lists this ribosomal RNA (301 nucleotides) under uncultured bacterium. Its description in RNAcentral is "partial 16S ribosomal RNA". It matches the Rfam family "Bacterial small subunit ribosomal RNA", at positions 509 to 808 of the family's 1533-position model. The record is from RNAcentral.